UCAGUGAGCAGGUACUGUGAAUGAAAUCCAGCCGCACUGUAGUCAAUGACAAAAAUCUCAGCCACUCCAGUAAGAUACUGCACCCGCAGAACCCAAUUCUUCUCACUUCCACUGUUGAAAAAUCAGGAGUAACGCUAAAGCUAGCAUGAAAGAAGGAUUGAUAGCACAGGAUCUGAGCUUCUUGUCAGUGGAAUGCAUCAUUCAACAUUGGGAAUACCAAGUUCUUACCAAAUCCUCAUGUCAUUCAAUGAUGAUUUCUCUCUUAAGAGUGUGGGUGUGAUGAAGAAAGAAAGGUGAAGGCAAACAAGAUAGAGCAAUCUUGAGAGAGAAAGCGAGAGCCAGUCUUGUGUCUGGCCUGGAAAGGAAUUUGAAUGCUGACUCAGCUUCAGGACCUAUUCAAACCUGCCAUUAGCAGAAAGUGCCACUGAGAAUCAAUUCACUAUUUAUCUUGAGAGAGAAAGAAAUAUUGCUUGGGCAGAGGUGUUUCCAACUUUUAAGAUGACCUCAAACUGGCCAGGAGAAAAAUCAAGUGGAGAGCAUUUCAGAAAUAGCGAAUUCCCACAACGGCUAGUAAUCUUCACCAAAAGCAGUUAAAUUCCUCUUGACCUAGGAGGAAUGACUAUCCUCAAUAGUUUUUCCUAUGCAGUAUAUGUAACAUGACAAAAUCAAGAGAAUGACGACAAGAGAAAUAAAAUCAUACCUAAUAGCAGUUAA
Molecule: long non-coding RNA, 714 nt
Organism: Mauremys reevesii (Reeves's turtle)
Lineage: Eukaryota; Metazoa; Chordata; Testudines; Geoemydidae
Exons: 3
Source: RefSeq, a predicted model, not a curated record